Molecule: transfer RNA, 65 nt
Filed under: Echinostomatidae sp. MSB para 30070
Lineage: Eukaryota; Metazoa; Platyhelminthes; Trematoda; Plagiorchiida; Echinostomatidae
Description: tRNA-Asp
Source: RNAcentral
UUGUUUCUAGUUUAUUUAGAAUACUGGCUUGUCGUGUCAGAGGUGUGGGGUUAUUACGAAGCAAG